Molecule: ribosomal RNA, 429 nt
Filed under: Xanthomonas axonopodis
Lineage: Bacteria; Pseudomonadati; Pseudomonadota; Gammaproteobacteria; Lysobacterales; Lysobacteraceae
Description: bacterial LSU rRNA
Rfam family: Bacterial large subunit ribosomal RNA
Source: RNAcentral
CAAGCGAAUAAGCGCACACGGUGGAUGCCUAGGCGGUCAGAGGCGAUGAAGGACGUGGUAGCCUGCGAAAAGUGUCGGGGAGCUGGCAACAAGCUUUGAUCCGGCAAUAUCCGAAUGGGGAAACCCACUGCUUCGGCAGUAUCCUGCAGUGAAUUCAUAGCUGCUGGAAGCGAACCCGGUGAACUGAAAUAUCUAAGUAACCGGAGGAAAAGAAAUCAACCGAGAUUCCCUAAGUAGUGACGAGCGAACGGGGAGCAGCCCUUAAGCUGGAAUGGCUUUAGAAAAACAAUCUGGAAAGAUUGGCCAUAGAAGGUGAUAGCCCUGUAUUUAAAAGGGCCACUCCAGUGAAGACGAGUAGGGCGGGGCACGUGAAACCCUGUCUGAAUAUGGGGGGACCAUCCUCCAAGGCUAAAUACUCUACCACCAAUU